UACUGAGGGUGCGAGCGUUGUCCGGAAUCACUGGGCGUAAAGGGCGCGUAGGCGGCGCGGGGAGUCAACGGUGAAAGCUCGGCGCUCAACGCCGAGUCGGCCGUCGAUACUCCCGUGCUCGAGCACUGUAGAGGCAGGUGGAAUUCCGGGUGUAGCGGUGGAAUGCGUAGAGAUCCGGAAGAACACCGGUGGCGAAGGCGGCCUGCUGGGCAGUAGCUGACGCUGAGGCGCGACAGCGUGGGGAGCAAACAGG
Molecule: ribosomal RNA, 253 nt
Filed under: uncultured bacterium
Lineage: Bacteria
Description: partial 16S ribosomal RNA
Rfam family: Bacterial small subunit ribosomal RNA
Source: RNAcentral